GACGUCGAUAUUCGACGUCAUAAACAUGAUCAAAUUUGGUGUUUAUGACGUCGAUAUUCGACGUCAUAAACACCAUCAAGUUUGGUGUUUAUGACGUCGUUAUUCGACGUCAUAAACAUGAUCAAAUAUCGUGUUUAUGACGUCGAUAUUCGACGUCAUAAACACGAUCAAUUUGGUGUUUAUGACGUAGAUAUUCGACGUCAUAAACACGAUCAACUUUGGUGUUUAUGACGUCGAUAUUCGACGUC
This is a non-coding RNA of Paramuricea clavata, 248 nucleotides long. NCBI's taxonomy places the organism in Eukaryota, Metazoa, Cnidaria, Anthozoa, Malacalcyonacea, Plexauridae. The record is from the annotation of a GenBank genome assembly.